Molecule: ribosomal RNA, 472 nt
Filed under: uncultured bacterium
Lineage: Bacteria
Description: bacterial SSU rRNA
Rfam family: Bacterial small subunit ribosomal RNA
Source: RNAcentral
UGGGGAAUUUUGGACAAUGGGCGCAAGCCUGAUCCAGCAAUGCCGCGUGCAGGAAGGAGGCCUUCGGGUUGUAAACUGCUUUUGUACGGAACGAAACGGUCCUGGUUAAUACCUGGGGCUAAUGACGGUACCGUAAGAAUAAGCACCGGCUAACUACGUGCCAGCAGCCGCGGUAAUACGUAGGGUGCGAGCGUUAAUCGGAAUUACUGGGCGUAAAGCGUGCGCAGGCGGUUUUGUAAGACAGGCGUGAAAUCCCCGGGCUCAACCUGGGAAUGGCGCUUGUGACUGCAAAGCUGGAGUGCGGCAGAGGGGGAUGGAAUUCCGCGUGUAGCAGUGAAAUGCGUAGAUAUGCGGAGGAACACCGAUGGCGAAGGCAAUCCCCUGGGCCUGCACUGACGCUCAUGCACGAAAGCGUGGGGAGCAAACAGGAUUAGAUACCCAUGUAGUCCCUGAGCGGGCUGGCAAGGCGCAU